UUAUCCGGAUUUAUUGGGCGUAAAGCGCGCGUAGGCGGCUUGUUAAGCAAGAUCUUAAACCUGGGGGCUCAACCUUCAGUUGGAUUUUGAACUGGCAGGCUCGAGUUUGGUAGAGGAAAGUGGAAUUCCCAGUGUAGCGGUGAAAUGCGCAGAUAUUGGGAAGAACACCGAUGGCGAAGGCAGCUUUCUGGGCCAUAACUGACGCUGAGGUGCGAAAGCUAGGGGAGCAAACAGGAUUAGAUACCCUGGUAGUCCUAGCCGUAAACGAUGGGCACUAGGUGUGGGGAAGCAUCUUCUCCGUGCCGCAGCUAACGCAUUAAGUGCCCCGCCUGGGGAGUACGGCCGCAAAGCUAAAACUCAAAGGAAUUGACGGGGGCCCGCACAAGCAGCGGAGCAUGUGGCUUAAUUC
This 409-nucleotide ribosomal RNA is filed under the name uncultured bacterium. RNAcentral describes it as "bacterial SSU rRNA". It matches the Rfam family "Bacterial small subunit ribosomal RNA", at positions 541 to 952 of the family's 1533-position model. The record is from RNAcentral.